Molossus molossus (Pallas's mastiff bat) is the source of this 103-nucleotide small nuclear RNA. The record is from RefSeq and is a predicted model, not a curated record. Lineage: Eukaryota; Metazoa; Chordata; Mammalia; Chiroptera; Molossidae.
GCGCUCACUUCAGUAGCACGUACACUGAACCUGGAAUGAUGCAGAGAUUAGCAUGACCCCGUGCAAGGAUGACAUGCAAAUUCAUGACACAUUCUAUAGUGAA